GCGCCUACGGGAGGCAGCAGUGAGGAAUAUUGGUCAAUGGUCGGGAGACUGAACCAGCCAAGCCGCGUGAGGGAUGAAGGUACAGAGUAUCGUAAACCACUUUUGUCAGGGAGCAAAGGGCGCCACGUGUGGCGCUUUGCGAGUACCUGAAGAAAAAGCAUCGGCUAACUCCGUGCCAGCAGCCGCGGUAAUACGGAGGAUGCGAGCGUUAUCCGGAUUUAUUGGGGUUAAAGGGUGCGCAGGCGGAAUG
RNAcentral lists this ribosomal RNA (250 nucleotides) under uncultured bacterium. Its description in RNAcentral is "partial 16S ribosomal RNA". It matches the Rfam family "Bacterial small subunit ribosomal RNA", at positions 335 to 582 of the family's 1533-position model. The record is from RNAcentral.